Molecule: ribosomal RNA, 470 nt
Filed under: uncultured bacterium
Lineage: Bacteria
Description: partial 16S ribosomal RNA
Rfam family: Bacterial small subunit ribosomal RNA
Source: RNAcentral
GAACGAACGUUGGCGGCGUGGAUUAGGCAUGCAAGUCGAACGCGAAUCCCUGGGCAACUGGGGAGGAGGGUGGCGAAAGGGGCAGUAAGGCGUUGGUAACCUACCCUCCGGGCCGGGAUAGCUUCGGGAAACUGAAGGUAAUACCGGGCGACGCAGCGAGAUCGCAUGGUCUUGCUGCCAAAGGUCCGCCGCCGGGGGAGGGGCGCACGGGGUAUUAGCUAGACGGCGGGGGAACGGCCCACCGUGGCAAAGAUGCCUAGCAGGUGUGAGAGCACGACCUGCGCACCUGGGGCGGAGAAACUGGCCAGACACCUACCGGUGGCUGCAGUCGGGGAUCUUCGGCAAUGGGGGCAAGCCUGACCGAGCGACGCCGCGUGUGCGAUGAAGGCCUUCGGGUUGUAAAGCACUGUCGAGGGGGAGGAAGCCGCAAGGUUGACCUACCCCUGGAGGAAGCACGGGCUAAGUUCGUG